This 466-nucleotide ribosomal RNA is filed under the name uncultured Pseudomonadota bacterium. RNAcentral's name for it is "bacterial SSU rRNA". It matches the Rfam family "Bacterial small subunit ribosomal RNA", at positions 8 to 522 of the family's 1533-position model. Lineage: Bacteria; Pseudomonadati; Pseudomonadota. The record is from RNAcentral.
AGAGUUUGAUCAUGGCUCAGAACGAACGCUGGCGGCAGGCUUAACACAUGCAAGUCGAGCGCCCCGCAAGGGGAGCGGCAGACGGGUGAGUAACGCGUGGGAAUCUACCCAUCUCUACGGAACAACUCCGGGAAACUGGAGCUAAUACCGUAUACGUCCUUCGGGAGAAAGAUUUAUCGGAGAUGGAUGAGCCCGCGUUGGAUUAGCUAGUUGGUGGGGUAAUGGCCUACCAAGGCGACGAUCCAUAGCUGGUCUGAGAGGAUGAUCAGCCACACUGGGACUGAGACACGGCCCAGACUCCUACGGGAGGCAGCAGUGGGGAAUAUUGGACAAUGGGCGAAAGCCUGAUCCAGCCAUGCCGCGUGAGUGAUGAAGGCCCUAGGGUUGUAAAGCUCUUUCAACGGUGAAGAUAAUGACGGUAACCGUAGAAGAAGCUCCGGCUAACUUCGUGCCAGCAGCCGCGGUA